This 546-nucleotide long non-coding RNA is filed under the name Cicer arietinum (chickpea). Its description in RNAcentral is "long non-coding RNA (CARI_LNC001078)". Lineage: Eukaryota; Viridiplantae; Streptophyta; Magnoliopsida; Fabales; Fabaceae. The record is from RNAcentral.
AUUGAUACCAACUUUCAAAAAGCCACAUCAAAUCUAGAAUUAAGUAUUUGAAAGAUACUAUACCAAACUGAAGUAUUGAAUUUUUAUAACAAAGCAAAUCAGGUAACUUACUUCCAUCCACUCCAAAAUGUCUAGCAUAUAAUGUAGAGAAACCAAUGAGGGAGAGUGAAUUAGAUAAAGAAAGUAGAACUUGUGGAAGAGGAUGGUAGUUUAGUGUCUACAUGAAACAGUUUUAAGGAGAUCUAAGCACCCGAACAAAUUGUGAACAUACUCUAUAAAAUCAGUAGGUGUGAAAUACUUUAAUUAGGGUAGUUUGUUAAAAAAAAAAGAAAAAACAAUGUAUAGGAUAAAUAAUUGUCCUAUAAUGUUUGGUAUAACAUAGAGUGUAUGAAGCACAAUUUAAAUAUCAUAAAACAGGAAAAUGAUUAGUAUUUUGAGAUAGACUCUCCCUUAGGCUAAUGCUAAUUAGAGUUUCCCACAUCAAAUCAUAGCCCCCUUUAUAACCUCUUCUCUCACAAACCACACAAAAACGACACGAUACACCGC